GACGAACGCUGGCGGCGUGCCUAAUGCAUGCAAGUCGCACGCGGCACCUUCGGGUGCUGCGUGGCGAACGGCUGAGGAACACGUGGGGACCUGUCCGGGAGUGGGGGACAACACCGCGAAAGCGGUGCUAAUCCCGCAUACGCUCUGAGGAGGAAAGCCGAAAGGCGCUCCCGGGUGGCCCUGCGGCCCAUCAGGUUGUUGGUGGGGUAACGGCCUACCAAGCCAAUGACGGGUCGCUGGUCUGUGAGGACGACCAGCCAGACUGGGACUGGGACACGGCCCAGACUCCUACGGGAGGCAGCAGCAAGGAAUUUUCGGCAAUGGGCGCAAGCCUGACCGAGCAACGCCGCGUGCAGGAAGACGGCCUUCGGGUUGGAAACUGCUUUUGCUAGGGAGGAUAACAGACAGUACCUGGCGAAUCAGCCCCGGCUAACUCUGUG
RNAcentral lists this ribosomal RNA (440 nucleotides) under uncultured bacterium. Its description in RNAcentral is "partial 16S ribosomal RNA". It matches the Rfam family "Bacterial small subunit ribosomal RNA", at positions 28 to 507 of the family's 1533-position model. The record is from RNAcentral.